GCGGGCAUAGCUCAAUUGGUUAGAGCGCUGGAUUGUGGAUCCAGAGGUUGCGGGUUCAAGUCCCGUUGCUCGCCCCA
RNAcentral lists this transfer RNA (77 nucleotides) under Rhodospirillaceae bacterium. RNAcentral's name for it is "tRNA-His". It matches the Rfam family "tRNA". Rfam says of the family: Transfer RNA (tRNA) molecules are approximately 80 nucleotides in length. Lineage: Bacteria; Pseudomonadati; Pseudomonadota; Alphaproteobacteria; Rhodospirillales; Rhodospirillaceae. The record is from RNAcentral. RNAcentral also lists the same sequence under 1 other name.